AGUGAACGCUGGCGGUAGGCCUAACACAUGCCAGUCGAACGGCAGCACAGUAAGAGCUUGCUCUUACGGGUGGCGAGUGGCGGACGGGUGAGGAAUACAUCGGAAUCUACUUUUUCGUGGGGGAUAACGUAGGGAAACUUACGCUAAUACCGCAUACGACCUACGGGUAAAAGCAGGGGAUCUUCGGACCUUGCGCGAUUGAAUGAGCCGAUGUCGGAUUAGCUAGUUGGCGGGGUAAAGGCCCACCAAGGCGACGAUCCGUAGCUGGUCUGAGAGGAUGAUCAGCCACACUGGAACUGAGACACGUUCCAGACUCCUACGGGAGGCAACAGUGGGGAAUAUUGGACAAUGGGCGCAAGCCUGAUCCAGCCAUACCGCGUGGGUGAAGAAGGCCUUCGGGUUGUAAAGCCCUUUUGUUGGGAAAGAAAAGCAGCAGGUUAAUACCCCGCUGUUCUGACGGUACCCAAAGAAUAAGCACCGGCUAACUUCGUG
RNAcentral lists this ribosomal RNA (492 nucleotides) under uncultured bacterium. RNAcentral's name for it is "partial 16S ribosomal RNA". It matches the Rfam family "Bacterial small subunit ribosomal RNA", at positions 29 to 507 of the family's 1533-position model. The record is from RNAcentral.